This 500-nucleotide ribosomal RNA is filed under the name uncultured bacterium. RNAcentral describes it as "partial 16S ribosomal RNA". It matches the Rfam family "Bacterial small subunit ribosomal RNA", at positions 30 to 523 of the family's 1533-position model. The record is from RNAcentral.
AUUGAACGCUGGCGGCAUGCCUUACACAUGCAAGUCGAACGGCAGCACGGGAGCAAUCCUGGUGGCGAGUGGCGAACGGGUGAGUAAAGUAUCGGAACGUGCCCAGUCGUGGGGGAUAACGUAGCGAAAGUUACGCUAAUAACGCAUACGAUCUAUGGAUGAAAGCGGGGGAUCGCAAGACCUCGCGCGAUUGGAGCGGCCGAUAUCAGAUUAGGUAGUUGGUGGGGUAAAGGCUCACCAAGCCGACGCUCUGUAGCUGGUCUGAGAGGACGACCAGCCACACUGGGACUGAGACACGGCCCAGACUCCUACGGGAGGCAGCAGUGGGGAAUUUUGGACAAUGGGCGCAAGCCUGAUCCAGCAAUGCCGCGUGCAGGAUGAAGGCCUUCGGGUUGUAAACUGCUUUUGUACGGAACGAAACGGCGAGCUCUAAUACAGUUUGCUAAUGACGGUACCGUAAGAAUAAGCACCGGCUAACUACGUGCCAGCCGCCGCCGUAA